Transfer RNA from Halodesulfurarchaeum formicicum, 75 nucleotides. It matches the Rfam family "tRNA". Rfam says of the family: Transfer RNA (tRNA) molecules are approximately 80 nucleotides in length. NCBI's taxonomy places the organism in Archaea, Methanobacteriati, Methanobacteriota, Halobacteria, Halobacteriales, Halobacteriaceae. The record is from Rfam.
GGGCCCUUAGCUCAGUCUGGUUAGAGCGCGCGGCUCAUAACCGCGUCGUCAGUGGUUCAAAUCCGCUAGGGCCCA